UACGGAGGGUGCAAGCGUUAUCCGGAUUCACUGGGUUUAAAGGGUGCGUAGGUGGGCAGGUAAGUCAGUGGUGAAAUCUUUGGGCUUAACCCGAAAACUGCCGUUGAUACUAUCUGUCUUGAAUAUAGUGGAGGUGAGCGGAAUAUGUCAUGUAGCGGUGAAAUGCUUAGAUAUGACAUAGAACAUCGAUUGCGAAGGCAGCUCGCUACACUAUGAUUGACACUGAGGCACGAAAGCGUGGGGAUCAAACAGG
This 253-nucleotide ribosomal RNA is filed under the name uncultured bacterium. RNAcentral describes it as "partial 16S ribosomal RNA". It matches the Rfam family "Bacterial small subunit ribosomal RNA", at positions 524 to 776 of the family's 1533-position model. The record is from RNAcentral.